GAUGUCGGUUGCACGGAGUUUUGAUUUGUGGCAGAAGGAUGCUUUCUUUUCCGCCGCCGAGGAGGUGCAAGAAUCCGCUGACAUAUUGGAAUCCACAUAUAGGGCAUGGUUGAGAGAGAGAAGAGCAAGAUUAAUGGUUGAAAAUUUGGAUGAAUUCACCAGGGAGUUGCGAACUGCUCUGGGAACGGCCAAAUGGCAGUUGGAAGAGUUUGAGAAGGCUGUAAGGUUGAGCUAUAGAAAACAUGGGGAUGUUACUAAGCUGGAAAGACAUAGACAGUUUAUUGAUGCCAUUGAAAACCAGAUAUUAUGCGUC
This 313-nucleotide unclassified non-coding RNA is filed under the name Hevea brasiliensis (rubber tree). Lineage: Eukaryota; Viridiplantae; Streptophyta; Magnoliopsida; Malpighiales; Euphorbiaceae. The record is from RNAcentral.